GGAGGAAAAGAAACCAACAGGGAUUGCCUCAGUAACGGCGAGUGAAGCGGCAAAAGCUCAAAUUUUAAAGCUGGCACCUCCGGUGUCCGCGUUGUAAUUUUGUGAGGCAUCUCCGGGUGGGGCGCCGGCCUAAGUUCCUUGGAACAGGACGUCAUAGAGGGUGAGAAUCCCGUGCUUGGCUGGCUGUCCCCGUCCAUGUGAGGUGUCUUCGACGAGUCGAGUUGUUUGGGAAUGCAGCUCAAAAUGGGUGGUAAAUUUCAUCUAAAGCUAAAUAUUGGUGGGAGACCGAUAGCGCACAAGUAGAGUGAUCGAAAGAUGAAAAGCACUUUGAAAAUAGAGUUAAAAAGUACGUGAAAUUGUUGAAAGGGAAGCGCUUGAGACCAGACUUCGGUGGGGAGUGAUCAGCCGUCCUUCUGGGCGGUGCACUUGCCCCCCUCCGGGCCAGCAUCGGUUGGGACGGCGGGAUAAAGGUCCCGGGAAUGUGGCUCCUCUCGGGGAGUGUUAUAGCCCGGGUGAAUGCCGCCAGCCCCGACCGAGGACCGCGCCUUCGGGCUAGGAUGCUUGGCAUAAUGGUCUUCAGCGACC
This 585-nucleotide ribosomal RNA is filed under the name Morchella americana. RNAcentral describes it as "eukaryotic LSU rRNA". It matches the Rfam family "Eukaryotic large subunit ribosomal RNA", at positions 52 to 649 of the family's 3401-position model. The record is from RNAcentral. Lineage: Eukaryota; Fungi; Ascomycota; Pezizomycetes; Pezizales; Morchellaceae.